Molecule: ribosomal RNA, 253 nt
Filed under: uncultured bacterium
Lineage: Bacteria
Description: partial 16S ribosomal RNA
Rfam family: Bacterial small subunit ribosomal RNA
Source: RNAcentral
UACGAAGGGGGCGAGCGUUGUUCGGAUUUACUGGGCGUAAAGGGCGCGCAGGCGGCUAUCCAAGUCAGGCGUGAAAGCCCCGGGCUUAACCUGGGAGGUGCGUCUGGGACUGGGUGGCUAGAGUUCGGGAGAGGAGAGUGGAAUUCCCAGUGUAGAGGUGAAAUUCGUAGAUAUUGGGAGGAACACCGGUGGCGAAGGCGGCCACCUGGGCCGGAACUGACGCUGAGGCGCGAAAGCGUGGGGAGCAAACGGG